This 948-nucleotide long non-coding RNA is filed under the name Equus asinus (donkey). RNAcentral's name for it is "lncRNA (ENSEASG00005029793.1)". Lineage: Eukaryota; Metazoa; Chordata; Mammalia; Perissodactyla; Equidae. The record is from RNAcentral.
GUGCCCUGCCCCCGCGAGCAGCUCCUGCGAGCGGCCACCCCGGCUCCGGCUCCGGAGCUGACUAUGCCGGUUCCCCGCUGCCAUAGGCACCCCCAGCCCGCGCGGGGGGGUGGGGCGCGCUGCGCUGAGCUGAGCUGCAGGGUUCCCCCUCCCCGUUCCUCCCCCUCGGGGCUCCCCGGGGCGCGGCGGGCCUGGGGCGCGCGGGUUGCCCGGCGACCGCGCCGUUGCCAGUGGAGACGCACACGCACACGCCCCCCCCCCCCCCGGGGCGGCCGAACCCAGGCGGCGGCCCCGGUGUCUGUGCGCUGGGCGCCGGCGGGCGGGGGCUGCAAGGAGAGACCUCCUGGGACUCCUCGAACCUUCCCGGCCCCCAGCGGCCUCUCGCCCUCACCCCACAGUCGGGGGCCCGGAGAAGGCGGGCCGCCCACCCUGGCCCCUCCCGCGGGGCGCAGACCCCUCCCCACGGCCACCUCCUUGAGCGAGCGCAGGAGAGGAGAAGGCGGUGGUGACUCCGCGCUUCCCGGCCGGCUGCCCUCCUCCCUGGCUGUUUGCCUCCAGGGAUCCCAGGAAGGCUGGAUGGCUCACCUUUUCCACCUGAUCCGGGUGUCUCCGUCCAGUAAUCAUCUCCCACGUCAGCAAAUGAAGAGUCCCUGUCAGAAAGGCUGUCCUGGGAGCAUUCUGUCGGGUUCUGGAAGAGGAGCGGUAGACCCAUCCCGAGCGUGGGCUUCCUGUAGGCAGGGCACCUCCUGCUGGAGAGGCGACAGCCCAGUCUGUGCACGGCUGCGUGUGGUGAGAAGACCAGAAGGAAAUACACCAAAACGUUAGCAGUGGCUCUGUCUGGGUGAAGGAAUCAGAGAAGGCUUUAUUUUUCAUGCAAAAACAGCCAGGGGGCAGGAUCCGUCUAGAGUUGGGGGUGAUGCCGAGGCCCCACAGCCGAGCCCCUGGACC